Long non-coding RNA from Xiphophorus hellerii (green swordtail), 1265 nucleotides. RefSeq lists it as uncharacterized. NCBI's taxonomy places the organism in Eukaryota, Metazoa, Chordata, Actinopteri, Cyprinodontiformes, Poeciliidae. The record is from RefSeq and is a predicted model, not a curated record. The transcript has 2 exons.
GAACUGUGUCGUUCUUUGCCUAACGGAAACCUGGCUCAGCAAUAGCAUGUCAGACUUAGCCUUCCAGAUCAUCAGUCUUUGGUUAUUCCGAGUGCUCCGUGGCCACCGGUCUGGAAAAACACGGGGAGGAAGACUCUGAAUGUUCUGGGUGAAGGAUGUGUUCUAUGCUUAUGGACCGCAUGUACCGAUACUCCCAGAAAGAAAUCCCACAGACUGCUGGAAAGAAGUAUACUCUGGGUUUCUGAACAGAUUCAGCUGUGAGUGUAACGCUCGACUAAGAUCCAACUGACUCUUCUCUUAAAGUUUCAUGCAGGAGUGCUCAAUUGUGUAAUGAAUUUUUAUAUAUAAAUUGUAACAUCAUGACUUCAAUAAUCUGCUGGUCAUUUUGUCUCUUCAUUCUAAGUGUUUAUGAACUCUCACCUAAUGAACCUGUCUGUGUUGCACAGGCAGGGUUUGAUGUUGUUUUUUGCAGGAACCAGAUUCUCUCAAUCAUUCCAGAGCGUUUGUCAGCAACUGACCAAUUGGCAUCGCAAGUACACACCUCUUAUCCGUAGGAACUGACCUCAGACAAUAUUGACAGUAUUUAGCAUAGCAAACACACUGCGGUCAGAGAGAUUUUGAGAAAUAAUAGAUGUUCAGUGGUGAACCUAACUAAAUGACAUUACCUAAAGCAUACAAAGGGUCUUACUCUAUGCACAAAUUGAGUCAAAGGAAAGUUUCCACCUAGAUGGACAAAUAGUUUUAACUUUUCUUAUAUACAGUAUAUAUAAUUAAUAUAAGGCUCUACCAACAAAAAGGCUUUUAGAACAAUAUAUAAAUAUGUGACUUUUUGCUUGUAUUUGUUUAACAACCCUGGUUGUCAUGUAUUCUGUGGACCUCAUUGUUUGUUAUUGCUUUUUGCUCAAUUAUGUUUCUUAAAGAAAAAUAUAAAUUUUUUCAUAUGUGGGCUCACUGAUAUUUUGAAAUGUGUACAUUGUAAUUGUUUUUUAAUAUAGUUUGUCAUGUUGCUUUUCGUAUGUCUAUUUCUUUUAUUCCUCUGAUAAUUGAGCGAGAUGCAUAGGUUUUAUGUACAAUGUGUGCUUUAUUUUGAGUACAGUUUGUGUUCUAAUUCUAAUAACAUCUUAUUUAAAAAAAAACAAUAAUGGCACCAUUGCACACCAGAACUGAGGGGGGUGAUAUUUCCUGUCAUGGACAUAGUAUCCAAUGUUUCUUUUAUUAUUAAACAAAUACUAAUAAUAUACCAUAAUAUAUUCAUUACCAAAUUA